CUGCUGCCUUCCGUAGGAGUUUGGGCCGUGUCUCAGUCCCAAUGUGGCCGUCCGCCCUCUCAGGCCGGCUACUGAUCGUCGCUUUGGUAGGCCGUUACCCUGCCAACUGGCUAAUCAGACGCGGGUCCAUCAUAUACCACCGGAGUUUUUCACACCGGGGCAUGCGCCCCUGUGCGCUUAUGCGGUAUUAGCACCUAUUUCUAAGUGUUAUCCCCCUGUAUAUGGCAGGUUACCCACGCGUUACUCACCCGUCCGCCACUA
Molecule: ribosomal RNA, 261 nt
Filed under: uncultured bacterium
Lineage: Bacteria
Description: partial 16S ribosomal RNA
Source: RNAcentral